Poecilia reticulata (guppy) is the source of this 221-nucleotide non-coding RNA. Lineage: Eukaryota; Metazoa; Chordata; Actinopteri; Cyprinodontiformes; Poeciliidae. The record is from RefSeq and is a predicted model, not a curated record.
AGUCAGCUGGAGGCUCAGCCUGCAGGCCUUCUUCCAAACGGAGCGCCUCCUGGUGGUCAGACGCUUGGACUGACUGCAGAGAAAUCGUACUCCAAAUACGGUGUUGGCAGGCUGCAGUUUGGGGAGCCCGUCCAACUGGGAACCAACRGGGCAGGAAACUAUGGUUAUGGAGUUAACCCGCAUCUGCCUGCAGGCGACGCUAAAGCAACGGGAAAAUACGG